RNA transcript from Fragaria vesca subsp. vesca, 934 nucleotides. RefSeq lists it as uncharacterized. The record is from RefSeq and is a predicted model, not a curated record. The transcript has a single exon. NCBI's taxonomy places the organism in Eukaryota, Viridiplantae, Streptophyta, Magnoliopsida, Rosales, Rosaceae.
CCAAGAUCGAGCUCAAAAUCGAAGACAAAGAAGAACUCGAAGAAGCUCGUCAACGCGCCGCCGCUUCAACCACCGCCGCUUCCGCCGUCCUCAGCCACCUCGACCGCCCCAAAGACCCCUCCUCCAAAACGCACCGCAUCAUCGGAAAUUAAAAAAACAAUGUCUCACGUCUCCAAAGCCCUAAUGGAGGUCGAGGUCAAGCUGCGGCUGCCGGACGCCGCCGCGCACGGCCAGGUCACCACUCUUUUAGCGCCGUUCCACCGCGGGACCCACCGCCAGGAGAAUCUCUUCUUCGACGGCUCCAAAUCCGAGCUCUCGGCGCGCCGGGCCGUGCUCCGGCUCCGGUUCUCCGACCGGAGCCCUCUCUGCGCGGUGACGCUGAAGGCGAAGGCGGUGCUCGUCGACGGCGUCAGCCGAGUGGAGGAGGACGAGGAGGAGAUGGACCCGGCGGUGGGGCGGGCGUGCGCCGCCGAGCCGGAGAAGCUGAUGGCGGCGGAGUCUAGGGUUUUUGAGAAGGGUGAGGGAGGAGUUUGGGGUUUUAGGGUUUGUGGGGAUGGGAGGGUUUGGGAAUGUGAGGGAUGUGUAUGAUUGGAAAGGGUUGAAGUUGGAGGUGGAUGAGACUAAGUAUGAGUUUGGGACUUGUUAUGAGAUUGAGUGUGAGAGUGCUGAUCCUGAUGGAGCUAAGGAGAAGCUUGAGGAGUUUUUGAAGGAAAAUGGGGUGAGGUAUUCCUACUCCCAAGUCUCCAAGUUUGCAACUUUUCGAGCUGGGAAGCUGCCUUGUUGAUUCCAAUGUGGUGAAUUUUCUGAUAAAAUUGUGUGUUCUGAUGCUUAUGUUAAUUGACUAUACUAUGUUGUGGGUUUGCGAAGAACUUUGGAUUGUAUGAGUUUUUGGUUAGUGCACUUUGGUUGAAUAAAGUUUUCAGAUUUUGUGCGG